This 469-nucleotide ribosomal RNA is filed under the name Lepidoblepharis sp. AB-2015. Its description in RNAcentral is "partial 16S ribosomal RNA". It matches the Rfam family "Bacterial large subunit ribosomal RNA", at positions 1926 to 2601 of the family's 2925-position model. Lineage: Eukaryota; Metazoa; Chordata; Lepidosauria; Squamata; Sphaerodactylidae. The record is from RNAcentral.
AACGGCCGCGGUAUUCUAACCGUGCAAAGGUAGCGUAAUCACUUGUCCUCUAAAUAGGGACUUGUAUGAACGGCUAAAUGAGGGCCUGCCUGUUUCCUAUGGCCCAUCAAUGAACUUGAUCUCCCAGUACAAAAGCUGGGAUUCACACAUAAGACGAGAAGACCCUGUGGAGCUUAAAGUAACCUACUACUUCAUAUAGUGCGCACUUUUAGUUGGGGCGACUAUGGAACAAAACGAAACUUCCACGCUUCGGACCCUCCCUCCAACAUAGGCACUCCUGCCCCCGUAACUCUUUUCACUUGACCCAGUCUAACUGACUAUCGAACCAAGUUACCCCAGGGAUAACAGCGCCAUCCUCUUCAAGAGCCCAUAUCGCCAAGAGGGUUUACGACCUCGAUGUUGGAUCAGGGCCCCCCAGUGGUGCAGCCGCUACUAACGGUUCGUUUGUUCAACGAUUAAUGCCCUACGU